Molecule: microRNA precursor, 147 nt
Filed under: Mustela putorius furo (domestic ferret)
Lineage: Eukaryota; Metazoa; Chordata; Mammalia; Carnivora; Mustelidae
Description: miRNA (ENSMPUG00000022512.1)
Source: RNAcentral
AGAUGUCCAGAUUUAUUUGAGUUUCAGAUAAUCAACAAAUAAUCUUUUCCUACAAGUAUAUUCUAAGCAAUACUUGGGACAUACUUCUACUAAAACAUUAUUUGAUGUUUAUCUGAAAUUCAAAUUUAACUGGGCAUCUUGUGUUUU